GAGUUUGAUCGUGGCUCAGAUUGAACGCUGGCGGCAUGCCUUACACAUGCAAGUCGAACGGCAGCACGGGAGCUUGCUCCUGGUGGCGAGUGGCGAACGGGUGAGUAAUGCAUCGGAACGUAUCCUGGAGUGGGGGAUAACGUAGCGAAAGUUACGCUAAUACCGCAUAUUCUGUGAGCAGGAAAGCGGGGGACCUUCGGGCCUCGCGCUCUUGGAGCGGCCGAUGUCGGAUUAGCUAGUUGGUGAGGUAAAGGCUCACCAAGGCGACGAUCCGUAGCAGGUCUGAGAGGAUGAUCUGCCACACUGGAACUGAGACACGGUCCAGACUCCUACGGGAGGCAGCAGUGGGAAUUUGGACAAUGGGGGCAACCCUGAUCCAGCCAUGCCGCGUGAGUGAAGAAGGCCUCGG
RNAcentral lists this ribosomal RNA (409 nucleotides) under bacterium enrichment culture clone ALO1_GLFRUDD03F107T. Its description in RNAcentral is "bacterial SSU rRNA". It matches the Rfam family "Bacterial small subunit ribosomal RNA", at positions 9 to 420 of the family's 1533-position model. RNAcentral also lists the same sequence under 1 other name. The record is from RNAcentral.